This 303-nucleotide ribosomal RNA is filed under the name uncultured bacterium. Its description in RNAcentral is "partial 16S ribosomal RNA". It matches the Rfam family "Bacterial small subunit ribosomal RNA", at positions 507 to 807 of the family's 1533-position model. The record is from RNAcentral.
AGCAGUCGCCGCGGGAAUACGUAGGUGGCAAGCGUUAUCCGGAAUUAUUGGGCGUAAAGCGCGCGUAGGCGGUUUUUUAAGUCUGAUGUGAAAGCCCACGACUCAACCGUGGAGGGUCAUUGGAAACUGGAAAACUUGAGUGCAGAAGAGGAAAGUGGAAUUCCAUGUGUAGCGGUGAAAUGCGCAGAGAUAUGGAGGAACACCAGUGGCGAAGGCGACUUUCUGGUCUGUAACUGACGCUGAUGUGCGAAAGCGUGGGGAUCAAACAGGAUUAGAUACCCCCGUAGUCCCUGUCUCUUAUAC